RNAcentral lists this ribosomal RNA (460 nucleotides) under uncultured bacterium. Its description in RNAcentral is "partial 16S ribosomal RNA". It matches the Rfam family "Bacterial small subunit ribosomal RNA", at positions 338 to 795 of the family's 1533-position model. The record is from RNAcentral.
CCUACGGGAGGCAGCAGUGAGGAAUAUUGGUCAAUGGGCUUACGCCUGAACCAGCCAAGUCGCGUGAGGGAAGACUGCCCUAUGGGUUGUAAACCUCUUUUGUCAGGGAGCAACGCCGGCUACGUGUAGCCGGACUGAGAGUACCUGAAGAAAAAGCAGCGGCUAACUCCGUGCCAGCAGCCGCGGUAAUACGGAGGAUGCGAGCGUUAUCCGGAUUUAUGGGGUUGAAAGGGUGCGUAGGCGGAAUGCCAAGUCAGCGGUAAAAUCGCGGGGCUCAACCUCGCUCCGCCGUUGAAACUGGCGUUCUUGAGUGGGCGAGAAGUAUGCGGAAUGCGUGGUGUAGCGGUGAAAUGCAUAGAUAUCACGCAGAACUCCGAUUGCGAAGGCAGCAUACCGGCGCCCAACUGACGCUGAAGCACGAAAGCGUGGGUAUCGAACAGGAUUAGAUACCCUUGUAGUC